RNAcentral lists this transfer RNA (77 nucleotides) under Acidobacteriota bacterium. Its description in RNAcentral is "Acidobacteria bacterium tRNA-Gly". It matches the Rfam family "tRNA". From Rfam's summary of the family: Transfer RNA (tRNA) molecules are approximately 80 nucleotides in length. RNAcentral also lists the same sequence under 1 other name. The record is from RNAcentral. Lineage: Bacteria; Pseudomonadati; Acidobacteriota.
GCGGGGGUAGCAUAGAUUUGGUAAUGCGCCGGGAGACCAUCCCGGAGAUGGUGGUUCGAAACCGCCCUCCCGCCCCA